GUUCUCCAAACUGUUCUGCCUUCAUCCUGCCACCACGGCACUGCUCCUCCUUGGGCCAGACAGUGCAAGCAGCAGGUGACCCCCAGUUUAUUCGCUCACAUUUAAUAUGACCUCCAGGCCACUCUUAUUUUGAUAUUGUUGGAUGUUACCUAAAAGAGGUACCUAAAAGAGCCUUGGAUUUCUCUUUUAUUUGUGUGGCUAUGAAGAGUUUAAGCAGAACUACUGUCAAACAAAAAAUAAAGCCACCAAACCAACAAAACNCUGGAGGUCUUUAAAAGACGUUUAGAUGUAGAGCUUAGCGAUAUGGUUUAGUGGAGUACUUAGUGUUAGGUCGGAGGUUGGACUCGAUGAUCUUGAGGUCUCUUCCAACCUAGAAAUCUGUGAUACUGUGAAAACCCCACCAAAUUCAGAAUGCUGUUUGCAGACUUAAUGAUGUCAAAGAUAAGCCAUGUAAAAGGCACAGAUAUGCUAUGGAUACAGAUGGGACUGGAGCAUGUUUAUGAAACUGAUAGAUCAUGUUUAAUCAGUGGUUUCCUGGAGUGA
Molecule: long non-coding RNA, 543 nt
Filed under: Anser brachyrhynchus (Pink-footed goose)
Lineage: Eukaryota; Metazoa; Chordata; Aves; Anseriformes; Anatidae
Description: lncRNA (ENSABRG00000013795.1)
Source: RNAcentral